AGCAGAUGUUAUAGUCUACCACCUGUUUUGCAGUAGCUUUUUUCAAUAGGUUCCAUUCUUAAUUUUGUAAUCUGGUAAUAAUUAAGAAGCAUACAUCCUCUUCAGCUAGAUCAUGUUGUUUUUUAUUACCUGUACCCUUUCUGUUUGUGGGAGUUAAAAUAAUCUCAAAGCAGCUCAGUCAUUGUGGUCUGUAUUAGCAUCCAUUCCCCUUAUUUUUCUGUCUUUCUCUUGCUCAAUAAAUGUGGAAAUUCAGAUAUCUGGAUUCUGAGGGGAAUAGUAUUUUCUCUUCUAGUCCUUAACUACAUAGUUUAAUUGGUUUCAGAGUAUUUAUUUGUCAAGUACAAAUGGAGAGCAGCAUUCUGUGGUCUAUAGCCAAUCUCUGUUCUAUUUGGAGGAGUGUCUGUUUUGAUUGGUUGGCCCCCAGCUGUUUCUAUUGAAAAAUAGUUUCAAUAUCAGCCCUCAUUAGUUGGAAAAUGGCAUGCUUCACUAUUAUUUCUGAGAUAAGGGGAACAAGGAAGUGAAUUGCUUUGCAAUUGAAGUCAACCAUAUUGGACAGAGGGUGGCAGUGUCUAUAGGACCAUCGCAUAUUAGAUGGGAAGGUAUAUCAUUCAAACAUGACAGGUCUCUUUAAUUCUGGGAUCAAACAUGCCUAGAACUUGAUUUAAAUCACUGCUCCAGCUCACACUAACCUUGGGUGUUGAGAACGUUUAUGAUUUAGUUUUCUUGUCUUUAAAUAGGGAAUAACAAUAAUACCUCCAUAAUAACAGCACAGCACAAUACCCCACCCCCAAGCGUUCAAUAUAUGUCAGUGACUAUGUGAAAAUAUUCAGAAUUGGUGUAUAAAAAGUUCGG
RNAcentral lists this long non-coding RNA (852 nucleotides) under Marmota monax (woodchuck). Lineage: Eukaryota; Metazoa; Chordata; Mammalia; Rodentia; Sciuridae. The record is from RNAcentral.